ACAAAAAGGCUGACCCAUGUGGUGAAUGCAGCCACAAAAUGGCUGCCACAUCUUCCCUUCAGUCACACAGUAAAGAUACUUGAGCUGUGGUCGCAGCUACUGCCAAACCAACUCUUUUUUUUUUUUUGCUUCUGCACAGUCAAAUCAAAUCUUCAGCUGUCCUAUCUGGUGCUGCCUACUUUCUAAAAACAUUUGACAGGGUCCCGAAAAGGUAUUAGUGGGCACUGUCUUGGGACCUCUGUUCUAAUUUUUCAUGGAAUAGGACUUUCGCCUCCUUCUGGCCUCCCCACAAAAGGAGAAUCAGUGGAAUCUCAACAACAGCACAGGGGAAAGAGUAGGGAGUCUGAAGUUGGAGUAGGAAUUGGAUGGCAAUUGCCAUUCCCUCUUCCUCAAAUGAAAAUACCAUUCCAUGUGAGGAACCGUGUGGUUGGAUAUACACCAAUGAACAUUGGCCCACACAUUCCACAGUAGCCCAUUUAACGGGAAUCUUGAGCUUAUCCCUAAAAAAGGAGUUGUUCUCAGAUACAUCAUGGUACACUGAAAAACCUGUGUCGACAGCACAGAUAACCACUCCAUUUUUUUUAGUUUCCUUUCUUACACGAUUCUGCACAAAACUUUCUUUAAUAUAUUUUUCUAAGCAGCUCUGUCAUGUUGGGAUUGCUAGUGUCACGAACAUGUUUAAGUGUGUGCGUGUGAUGUGUAAAUAAAGAUAGUAGUGCCAGAUGUAGUUCCGUGAUUGUACAGCUGAUGUUACCAUUCUCAUUUGUUUGUCGUCUUUUGUACAUAAGCUGAUUCCCACUUACCGUCCUGAGCUCGGAGCUCCUGUCUGGUGGACCAGGUCAUGAUGGCUGAAUGAUAAUUUGAUGUACAAAGAAUACUCUCACUCCCAAUUGCAACUUUGUUUUUUUCAUUUACUGGUUGUUUUUUUCCCCCUGAAUCUGAAAUAAAAUGACUUUUGACUGAA
Molecule: long non-coding RNA, 964 nt
Organism: Sphaerodactylus townsendi
Lineage: Eukaryota; Metazoa; Chordata; Lepidosauria; Squamata; Sphaerodactylidae
Exons: 3
Source: RefSeq, a predicted model, not a curated record